GUGGGGAAUCUUGGACAAUGGGCGCAAGCCUGAUCCAGCGACGCCGCGUGGGUGACGAAGGCCCUCGGGUUGUAAAGCCCUUUUGCCGGGGACGAUGAUGACGGUACCCGGCGAAUAAGCACCGGCUAACUCCGUGCCAGCAGCCGCGGUAAGACGGAGGGUGCUAGCGUUGUUCGGAAUUACUGGGCGUAAAGGGCGCGUAGGCGGCCUGUGAAGUCGGGUGUGAAAGCCCGGGGCUCAACCCCGGAACGGCACCCGAUACUCUCAGGCUCGAGACCGGGAGAGGUGGGUGGAAUACCCAGUGUAGAGGUGAAAUUCGUAGAUAUUGGGUGGAACACCGGUGGCGAAGGCGGCCCACUGGCCCGGUUCUGACGCUGAGGCGCGAAAGCGUGGGGAGCAAACAGG
This 405-nucleotide ribosomal RNA is filed under the name uncultured Candidatus Halysiosphaera sp. RNAcentral describes it as "bacterial SSU rRNA". It matches the Rfam family "Bacterial small subunit ribosomal RNA", at positions 354 to 776 of the family's 1533-position model. Lineage: Bacteria; Pseudomonadati; Pseudomonadota; Alphaproteobacteria; Geminicoccales; Geminicoccaceae. The record is from RNAcentral.